RNAcentral lists this ribosomal RNA (253 nucleotides) under uncultured bacterium. Its description in RNAcentral is "partial 16S ribosomal RNA". It matches the Rfam family "Bacterial small subunit ribosomal RNA", at positions 524 to 776 of the family's 1533-position model. The record is from RNAcentral.
UACGAAGGGGGCUAGCGUUGCUCGGAUUGACUGGGCGUAAAGGGCGCGUAGGCGGUUCGUACAGUCAGACGUGAAAUUCCUGGGCUCAACCUGGGGGCUGCGUUUGAUACGUGCGGACUUGAGUGCGGAAGAGGGUCGUGGAAUUCCCAGUGUAGAGGUGAAAUUCGUAGAUAUUGGAAAGAACACCGGUGGCGAAGGCGGCGACCUGGUCCGAUACUGACGCUGAGGCGCGAAAGCGUGGGGAGCAAACAGG